UGAGUCUCGAUGAUGAAGCUUUUCUGACUGCUGCAUUAAGCCGAGUGCGCUGUGCGGAUGCCAACCUUGGAGAGCUGAGGACUCA
Small nucleolar RNA from Callipepla squamata (scaled quail), 85 nucleotides. NCBI's taxonomy places the organism in Eukaryota, Metazoa, Chordata, Aves, Galliformes, Odontophoridae. The record is from Rfam.